AAGACAAUAUGUAUAAAAAUGUUGUUGUCUAACACUGGUUAGGUUGUCUGGUAACAUCACAGUGACAGCAGGUUAGGUUGUCUGUGAUACCCAGAAACCAUAGUGACAGCAGGUUAGGUUGUCUGUGAUACCCAGAAACCAUAGUGACAGCAGGUUAGGUUGUCUGUA
Long non-coding RNA from Oncorhynchus tshawytscha (Chinook salmon), 168 nucleotides. RefSeq lists it as uncharacterized. The record is from RefSeq and is a predicted model, not a curated record. NCBI's taxonomy places the organism in Eukaryota, Metazoa, Chordata, Actinopteri, Salmoniformes, Salmonidae. The transcript has 2 exons.